UAGAAUGUCUCGCACAUUAACCGUUCAGUUGCUCCUGAAGAAUCACUCAAAUUUUCUCAUUCUCAAUACUUUCCUUAGCAUCGGAUGCUCCAGGUGUCCAUAGCCACCGAGCUCAACUCAAGUGAUAGAGAGGGUUCCAUCCACAAUUCAAAAAUAGAUCUUCAUCAACGUCACCAUAACGUGACCAGCAGCCAAACGUCCAUCCAAACAGCUCUUUUACGCAGUUCCCAAUUCCAAGAUCUGGAUUCCUAGUGCAUAAACCGGACAAGGGAAAAUAGCAACUUGGUACUUUUCCUUCUCGAGUUUCCCAACCACUCGAUUCAACAGCGAGAGUUUCACACCUUGAUCGUGUCAAUUUGUCUCUGCAG
RNAcentral lists this long non-coding RNA (368 nucleotides) under Ananas comosus (pineapple). RNAcentral's name for it is "long non-coding RNA (ACOM_LNC008854)". The record is from RNAcentral. Lineage: Eukaryota; Viridiplantae; Streptophyta; Magnoliopsida; Poales; Bromeliaceae.